RNAcentral lists this ribosomal RNA (253 nucleotides) under uncultured bacterium. RNAcentral's name for it is "partial 16S ribosomal RNA". It matches the Rfam family "Bacterial small subunit ribosomal RNA", at positions 524 to 776 of the family's 1533-position model. The record is from RNAcentral.
AACGUAGGAGGCAAGCGUUAUCCGGAUUCACUGGGCGUAAAGCGCGUGCAGGCGGUUCGGUAAGUUGGGCGUGAAAUCUCCUGGCUUAACUGGGAGAGGCCGUUCAAUACUACCGGACUUGAGAGCAGUAGAGGAAGAUGGAAUUCCCGGUGUAGUGGUGAAAUGCGUAGAUAUCGGGAGGAACACCAGUGGCGAAGGCGAUCUUCUGGACUGUUUCUGACGCUCAGACGCGAAAGCUAGGGUAGUAAACGGG